This 578-nucleotide ribosomal RNA is filed under the name uncultured bacterium. RNAcentral describes it as "partial 16S ribosomal RNA". It matches the Rfam family "Bacterial small subunit ribosomal RNA", at positions 355 to 923 of the family's 1533-position model. The record is from RNAcentral.
UGGGGAAUUUUGGACAAUGGGCGAAAGCCUGAUCCAGCAAUGCCGCGUGUGUGAAGAAGGCCUUCGGGUUGUAAAGCACUUUUGUCCGGAAAGAAAUCCUUGGCUCUAAUACAGUCGGGGGAUGACGGUACCGGAAGAAUAAGCACCGGCUAACUACGUGCCAGCAGCCGCGGUAAUACGUAGGGUGCAAGCGUUAAUCGGAAUUACUGGGCGUAAAGCGUGCGCAGGCGGUUUGCUAAGACCGAUGUGAAAUCCCCGGGCUCAACCUGGGAACUGCAUUGGUGACUGGCAGGCUAGAGUAUGGCAGAGGGGGGUAGAAUUCCACGUGUAGCAGUGAAAUGCGUAGAGAUGUGGAGGAAUACCGAUGGCGAAGGCAGCCCCCUGGGCCAAUACUGACGCUCAUGCACGAAAGCGUGGGGAGCAAACAGGAUUAGAUACCCUGGUAGUCCACGCCCUAAACGAUGUCAACUAGUUGUUGGGGACUUCAUUUUCCUUAGUAACGUAGCUAACGCGUGAAGUUGACCGCCUGGGGGAGUACGGUCGCAAGAUUAAAACUUAAAUGAAUUGACGGGGUCAUA